UGAGGAAUAUUGGGUCAAUGGGCGAGAGCCUGAACCAGCCAAGUAGCGUGCAGGAAGACGGCCCUACGGGUUGUAAACUGCUUUUAUGAAGGAAUAAAGUCACCCACGUGUGGGUGUUUGCAUGUACUUUAUGAAUAAGGACCGGCUAAUUCCGUGCCAGCAGCCGCGGUAAUACGGAAGGUCCGGGCGUUAUCCGGAUUUAUUGGGUUUAAAGGGAGCGUAGGCCGGAGAUUAAGCGUGUUGUGAAAUGUAGUGGCUCAACCUCUGCACUGCAGCGCGAACUGGUCUUCUUGAGUACGCACAACGUGGGCGGAAUUCGUGGUGUAGCGGUGAAAUGCUUAGAUAUCACGAAGAACUCCGAUUGCGAAGGCAGCUCACGGGAGCGCAACUGACGCUGAAGCUCGAAAGUGCGGGUAUCGAACAGGAUUAGAUACCCUGGUAGU
This 443-nucleotide ribosomal RNA is filed under the name uncultured Prevotella sp. Its description in RNAcentral is "bacterial SSU rRNA". It matches the Rfam family "Bacterial small subunit ribosomal RNA", at positions 355 to 794 of the family's 1533-position model. The record is from RNAcentral. Lineage: Bacteria; Pseudomonadati; Bacteroidota; Bacteroidia; Bacteroidales; Prevotellaceae.